UCCAGCAAGGACCAAGUAGGCAGGAAAAAGAGUCAGGGCUGGGGAACUCUUAAAGAUUUUUAUUUUUUUUCAGAAAUGCUCAAGCAAAAAGGAAAUGUGUAAGGAUCCAUCUCUCACUGUAAUGCAGCCACAUCCAACCUGAGGAUAGGGAUAACUCUGAUACGCUCCCGAUGGGGCUGAUGCUCACCGUGAAUCCCCUGGAGUGAAUAAACAUGAAGCAUCUCCCAAGCUGCAGGCUUAUGGCCAGACCCUUGAUCUUAUUCCUGGGGUGGAUGCAUGGGUCCUGCCCACCCAAAUGAAGUACGAGCCGUGGAGUGGUGCAUUGACAAGGGCUGCAGAAGCUGUCAUCUCCCGUGACCUCUCCUGAUCGUGACACCACAAAGGAAAAAAAAAAAAAAAAAAAGAAAAAGGCCACGCUAGGCUUUGAAAUGUGCAACCACCUGAGCUCCUCCUGGUGCAUUCCAUCUAUCCCUUGGUCUCCCACUGAGCCUUCUGCUGUGGGAUGCAGGCAACGAUUCCUCUAAAGCAGCAUGGGGAGAGUACAGUUUCCAACACAGGACCCUCUUUCCAUGCAUCUUGGAGCCCAAGGAAGGUAAGCAGUGGCUCCAAAAGCUCCCCCUGAGGGACGUCAGGGAGAGGAGGGGGGCACACCGAGGUGGCUGUGGUGGGACCAGGUCGUGGUGGUCGGGGCUGCCCUGGGGUAAGGCUCUGCAGAGGAUAGGGGCCCCGGCAGCCUUGCACGAUCAGCUCCCGAACCCGGUGUGUCUUUCAGCAACGUGUUUCACCACCUGCUCGUUCGGGCCCCCGGCUGCCAUGCUGCCUGUCAGUGCUUUUGCUCGGCUUUCCAAAAUGUGCCUGUCCGGCUCCUCUGGCAUCCAACAUGCUGCUGCCUGCCUCGUGCGCGCUGCAGAUUCGGGUUCCUCCUUGGAAAGCAUCCACGUCGCCAGCUAUUUUUGGAACAGAGGCAUCUAUUGUCUUGUGCCGUUCCCUGCUGGGUUAAGCUCACAGCUGCCGAGGCCCCUUCCCCCAGCACCCUCUCCCUUCCUUCCCAUGGCACGGCUUCUGUGUGCCAGGCAGCAUCUCCAGAUAUGCUGCUAGAGCACCCCGAGGCAGG
This 1114-nucleotide long non-coding RNA is filed under the name Cairina moschata (Muscovy duck). Its description in RNAcentral is "domestica (muscovy Duck (domestic type)) lncRNA (ENSCMMG00000000483.1)". The record is from RNAcentral. Lineage: Eukaryota; Metazoa; Chordata; Aves; Anseriformes; Anatidae.